RNAcentral lists this ribosomal RNA (422 nucleotides) under uncultured bacterium. RNAcentral describes it as "partial 16S ribosomal RNA". It matches the Rfam family "Bacterial small subunit ribosomal RNA", at positions 360 to 774 of the family's 1533-position model. The record is from RNAcentral.
AAUUUUGGACAAGGGGGGAAACCCUGAUCGAGCCAUCCCGCGCGUGGGAUGAAGGCCUACGGGUUGUAUAGCACGUUUGACCGUGAAGAAAUAGCAGGGGCUAAUAUCCUCUGUGAAUGACUGUACCUGUAGAAUAAGCACCGGCUAACUACGUGCCAGCAGCCGCGGUAAUACGUAGGGUGCAAGCGUUAAUCGGAAUUACUGGGCGUAAAGGGUACGCAGGCGGCUAGGAAAGAAAGAUGUGUAAUCCCAGGGCUCAACCUUGGAACUGCAUUUUUAACUAACUAGCUAGAGUAUGUCAGAGGGGAGUAGAAUUCCACGUGUAGCAGUGAAAUGCGUAGAGAUGUGGAGGAAUACCGAUGGCGAAGGCAGCCCCCUGGGAUAAUACUGACGCUCAGGUACGAAAGCGUGGGGAGCAAACA